Molecule: ribosomal RNA, 263 nt
Filed under: Escherichia coli O157
Lineage: Bacteria; Pseudomonadati; Pseudomonadota; Gammaproteobacteria; Enterobacterales; Enterobacteriaceae
Description: partial 16S ribosomal RNA
Rfam family: Bacterial small subunit ribosomal RNA
Source: RNAcentral
UGUCGUCAGCUCGUGUUGUGAAAUGUUGGGUUAAGUCCCGCAACGAGCGCAACCCUUAUCCUUUGUUGCCAGCGGUCCGGCCGGGAACUCAAAGGAGACUGCCAGUGAUAAACUGGAGGAAGGUGGGGAUGACGUCAAGUCAUCAUGGCCCUUACGACCAGGGCUACACACGUGCUACAAUGGCGCAUACAAAGAGAAGCGACCUCGCGAGAGCAAGCGGACCUCAUAAAGUGCGUCGUAGUCCGGAUUGGAGUCUGCAACUC